RNAcentral lists this ribosomal RNA (301 nucleotides) under uncultured bacterium. Its description in RNAcentral is "partial 16S ribosomal RNA". It matches the Rfam family "Bacterial small subunit ribosomal RNA", at positions 509 to 809 of the family's 1533-position model. The record is from RNAcentral.
CAGUCGCCGCGGUAAUACGAAGGGGGCUAGCGUUGCUCGGAAUUACUGGGCGUAAAGGGAGCGUAGGCGGACAUUUAAGUCAGGGGUGAAAUCCCAGAGCUCAACUCUGGAACUGCCUUUGAUACUGGGUGUCUUGAGUGUGAUAGAGGUAUGUGGAACUCCGAGUGUAGAGGUGAAAUUCGUAGAUAUUCGGAAGAACACCAGUGGCGAAGGCGACAUACUGGAUCAUUACUGACGCUGAGGCUCGAAAGCGUGGGGAGCAAACAGGAUUAGAUACCCGCGUAGUCCCUGUCUCUUAUAA